CAAAGGGGUGCCUGCGUGGCUGAGAUUAUACCCUAUGAACCUGAACCGGGUAAUGCCGGCGUAGGAAUUGUUCAU
Molecule: non-coding RNA, 75 nt
Filed under: pig gut metagenome
Description: TPP riboswitch (THI element)
Rfam family: TPP riboswitch aptamer (THI element)
About the family: Vitamin B(1) in its active form thiamin pyrophosphate (TPP) is an essential coenzyme that is synthesised by coupling of pyrimidine and thiazole moieties in bacteria. The previously detected thiamin-regulatory element, thi box was extended, resulting in a new, highly conserved RNA secondary structure, the THI element, which is widely distributed in eubacteria and also occurs in some archaea. Analysis of operon structures identified a large number of new candidate thiamin-regulated genes, mostly transporters, in various prokaryotic organisms.
Source: RNAcentral